UGGAAGCUUCUGGAGAUCCUGCUCCGUCGCCCCAGUGUUCAGACUACCUGUUCAGGACAAUGCCGUUGUACAGUAGUCUGCACAUUGGUUAGACUGGGCAAGGG
Castor canadensis (American beaver) is the source of this 104-nucleotide microRNA precursor. NCBI's taxonomy places the organism in Eukaryota, Metazoa, Chordata, Mammalia, Rodentia, Castoridae. The record is from Ensembl.